CCUACUGGUGGCAUCAGUGGGGGAUAUUGCACAAUGGGGGGAACCCUGAUGCCGCGACGCCGCGUGGGUGCAGGAGCGUUUCGGCGCGUACAGCCCUAUCGGCAGGGACGAGGGAGGACGGUACCUGACUAAGAAGCCCCGGCUAACUACGUGCCAGCAGCCGCGGUAAUACGUAGGGGGCAAGCGUUAGCCAGAUUUACGGGGUGUAAAGGGGGCGCAGACGGCAGCGCAAGCCAGGAGUGAAAGCCCGGGGCCCAACCCCGGGACUGCGCUUGGAACUGCGCUGCUGGAGUGCAGGAGGGGCAGGCGGAAUUCCUGGUGGAGCGGGGAAAUGCGUAGAUAUCAGGAGGAACACCGGGGGCGAAGGCGGCCUGCUGGACUGCGACUGACGUGGAGGCCCGAAAGCGUGGGGAGCAAACAGGAUUAGAUACCCCGGGAGUC
This 441-nucleotide ribosomal RNA is filed under the name uncultured bacterium. RNAcentral describes it as "partial 16S ribosomal RNA". It matches the Rfam family "Bacterial small subunit ribosomal RNA", at positions 338 to 795 of the family's 1533-position model. The record is from RNAcentral.